This 336-nucleotide unclassified non-coding RNA is filed under the name soil metagenome. RNAcentral describes it as "partial contains 5.8S ribosomal RNA, internal transcribed spacer 2, and large subunit ribosomal RNA". The stretch from base 1 to 120 matches the Rfam family "5.8S ribosomal RNA", at positions 35 to 154 of the family's 154-position model. The record is from RNAcentral.
GAUGAAGAACGUAGCGAAGUGCGAUAAGUAAUGUGAAUUGCAGAAUUCAGUGAAUCAUCGAAUCUUUGAACGCACAUUGCGCCCGCCAGUAUUCUGGCGGGCAUGCCUGUUCGAGCGUCAUUUCAACCAUCAAGCCCCCGGCUUGUGUUGGGGACCUGCGGCUGCCGCAGGCCCUGAAAAGCAGUGGCGGGCUCGCUGUCACACCGAGCGUAGUAGCAUACAUCUCGCUCUGGGCGUGCUGCGGGUUCCGGCCGUUAAACCACCUUCAUAACCCAAGGUUGACCUCGGAUCAGGUAGGAAGACCCGCUGAACUUAAGCAUAUCAAUAAGCGGAGGA